This 230-nucleotide long non-coding RNA is filed under the name Mytilus galloprovincialis (Mediterranean mussel). The record is from RNAcentral. Lineage: Eukaryota; Metazoa; Mollusca; Bivalvia; Mytilida; Mytilidae.
AAAACUGUCAGUUAUCCUUCACACCAGAAUAUCACCACACUUUUCCUCUUUAAAUUUUGUCAAAUUAAAAAUUGAAACGGGGAAUAUGUCAAAAAGACAACAACAGGUCCAAAGUUUAGAAAAUGAUCAAAGAUAACCAAUGAGUCUUAAAUACAGCGAUAAAAUACCUUACCUGGAAUUGUAUGUGUGUAUCUAACCUCCCUAAGUACUUAAACAUGUUCUGAUUGCUU